Non-coding RNA from Pelobates cultripes (western spadefoot toad), 226 nucleotides. The record is from the annotation of a GenBank genome assembly. NCBI's taxonomy places the organism in Eukaryota, Metazoa, Chordata, Amphibia, Anura, Pelobatidae.
GGAUCAGUAAGGGAUCACAAACGAUGCCUUAAUUAGUGAUUUAUGCUCCUUCUAGAGUUGUGAAAAAAAUGUUUUGUCUGAGCCACUUCAUUCAAAAAUCGGAAUGGACGAUGUUUGGCCACAUUGAGGUUCGGCUCUUUAAAAUGUCGUUAACGAAAACGAUUUGGGAAAACAAAACAGAUGAACCAAAAGGGUGCGACAUGGGACAAUACGGCCACUACUAAAC